AUCCCCAUGGUCAUGUCUAAAAUCGAGUGGAUGAGCCGAGCGGUGACUGUGAAGACACUGCCUGGUCCAGCUCCCUCGCUCACUAGCGCCGCCUUCUGAACAAGUCAUUUACGUCUGACAGCCUCGGUCUCCUCAAGUACCGGAUGGGUCCGCCACCCCCACCCUGGCUCCUUCUCAGGCCACUGGGUGCUUGAGACUUCUUCGAGGGACGAGGGUCACCCACAGGCCGGUAUCUCUGGGUUGGCAAGAGGGAGGCUGGCCAAGGGGAAGGAAGACCACCGCCAACAAGAAGGGGCUCCUGCACCAGGACAGCCAAGCCCUGCACUCACUCAGGUUGCAGGAAAGUGCCGCUGAGAUGCCAGAACAAAGAUUUCCACUUGACUGACAGCUCCACGGAGGGUCUAUACAGCAGUGUCAGCCUGUGGGUGGGACUACACCAAGCAGGGAUCCUCAUGAGAUGCCCUUGUGGGACGUGAUCAAAUCCUACUACCUCUUUGCCCAAAACCCUCCAAGAGACCCCAGGGGUCAGAAGAGGCAGCACGAGAAACCCAAGAUGUUGAGAAGGCGUCCGUCUUUAUCUGUGGAUUGGGGGCCAGCUGCCUGUGCAGCAGACCAUCUCAUUCACCGCUCGGUGGCAAUCAGCGGGGAUUUACUGAGGCCAUCCCAGCAGGAGAGCGAAAACCAAGCCGCCCAAAGAAGAAAAGCGUCCAAAAGCCAGGCCUGCGUCACCGAGGUGUCGCCGCCCCAUAAAGGAGAACAGCGAGGCCCCUGGGAGCCGACGCGUCCCCACCGUGGGGGCAUGAGAUGGAGCCAUAAAGCCCUCUGGGUGUCUCCCUGUCCUCACACGUCCCACCUAUAAAUGGU
This 864-nucleotide long non-coding RNA is filed under the name Equus asinus (donkey). Its description in RNAcentral is "lncRNA (ENSEASG00005033708.1)". Lineage: Eukaryota; Metazoa; Chordata; Mammalia; Perissodactyla; Equidae. The record is from RNAcentral.